This 353-nucleotide unclassified non-coding RNA is filed under the name soil metagenome. Its description in RNAcentral is "partial contains 5.8S ribosomal RNA, internal transcribed spacer 2, and large subunit ribosomal RNA". The stretch from base 1 to 120 matches the Rfam family "5.8S ribosomal RNA", at positions 35 to 154 of the family's 154-position model. The record is from RNAcentral.
GAUGAAGAACGCAGCGAAAUGCGAUAAGUAAUGUGAAUUGCAGAAUUCAGUGAAUCAUCGAAUCUUUGAACGCACAUUGCGCCCGCCAGUAUUCUGGCGGGCAUGCCUGUUCGAGCGUCAUUACAACCCUCAGGCCCCCGGGCCUGGCGUUGGGGAUCGGCAGAAGCCCCCUGUGGGCACACGCCGUCCCUCAAAUACAGUGGCGGUCCCGCCGCAGCUUCCAUUGCGUAGUAGCUAACACCUCGCAACUGGAGAGCGGCGCGGCCAUGCCGUAAAACACCCAACUUCUGAAUGUUGACCUCGAAUCAGGUAGGAAUACCCGCUGAACUUAAGCAUAUCCAAUAAGCGGAGGA